UAAAAGUUUUAUUUUGGCUUUAAAUUUAAUUUUUUAUUUGUUUUAUAUACGAGUUAUUUUUAAUAGUUUAUUGUAGUAAUUAAUAUUAGUAUUUAAGGUAACUUAGAUUUAGGGAAAUGAAAGAGUUUUGAUUAAUUUUGUGCCAGCAGUCGCGGUUAUACAAAUAAUGCUAAUUAAAUUUGUCUUGUUUUAAUAAAUUUGUUUUAUUUAUUGAUGAGGAAAUUUUAGGUGAAAUUUGAUUUCUUCUGAGAGUUUCAAUAUGAUUUAAGAGACUUCACGAUUAAACUAGGAUUAGAUACCCUAUUAUUUGGAGUGUAAAUUAACAUAUUAGUAUUAGUUUUGGUCUUGAAAGUAAAAGGAUCUGGCGGUAUCUUAGUCUUUUCAGAGGAACCUGUCUUAUAAACGAUGAUCCACGAUUGAUUGUACUUUUCCUAGAAGUUUGUAUAUCGUCGUAGUUGAGUGUUCUUUGAGGAAACAUUCAUGAUUUUAAAUUUAAAAUAAAUUCAGAUCAAGGUGCAGUUUAUGGAGAAGAAUUGAUGGGUUACAAUAAGCUUAUUUAUAUGGUCUAAAAUUUUAGCAAAUUUUAGUAAAGUGGAUUUGAAAGUAAAUUGAGAAAUUUUUCUUGGUUGAUUAAGCUCUAGGAUAUGCACAUAUCGCCCGUCGCUCUCAUUGUAGUUGAGAUAAGUCGUAACAUAGUAGGUGUACCGGAAGGUGUGUCUAGGUUGAC
RNAcentral lists this non-coding RNA (727 nucleotides) under Bostrichoidea sp. 8 KM-2017. Lineage: Eukaryota; Metazoa; Arthropoda; Insecta; Coleoptera. The record is from RNAcentral.